This 120-nucleotide ribosomal RNA is filed under the name Pinus bungeana. The record is from RNAcentral. Lineage: Eukaryota; Viridiplantae; Streptophyta; Pinopsida; Pinales; Pinaceae.
GGGUGCGAUCAUACCAGCGUUAAUGCACCGGAUCCCAUCAGAACUCCGCAACUAAGCGCGCUUGGGCUAGAGUAGUACUGGGAUGGGUGACCUCCCGGGAAGUCCUAGUGUUGCACCCUG